AUGAUUUAUAGUGGUUCUUCUUCUAUCUCAUGGUAUGGGAAAAAAUUAUACAGAAGGUUUGAUGAGUCUAAGGUUCUGGUGGAGAUGGCUACCGUUGCAGGUUUGACAGUUUGUGGGGUUGGUUUUGUAGCAGGCUUUGGACAUGUAGUGAAGCAAGACCAACAACAUGGUUGUAGCAAUGGCUUUGGACAUGGGAAAAAGCUUAGACUCAUGUAG
Molecule: non-coding RNA, 216 nt
Organism: Vicia faba (fava bean)
Lineage: Eukaryota; Viridiplantae; Streptophyta; Magnoliopsida; Fabales; Fabaceae
Source: the annotation of a GenBank genome assembly